UUUUUGGAGAGAUGGACAACAAGCUUGUCCAUGAAAGCAGGAGCGAUGUAGAAGCCUCCCAUGGUGUUGUCGAAGUCGUACUUCCGCAGGCCCUGGCUGACGUACUCGUAGGAGCUGAGGACGGCCUCGUGGGUGCCGUCGCCCGUGGGCGCCUGGAAGAGCGAGUCCACGAUGCCCUUCCCUCUGGUGAUGUCCUGCUGGUCGUCGGAGAUAUCGUACGCAAGACCCUUCCACUUGUCGGUGUUCCUCUUCUCGUCGAUGUUCUCCGCUGCCAUGACUGUGAACCUGUUGGCCUUGGAGCUCUUGCCAUGGUAGUUCACGGCCGAGGUCACCUGCUUCUUGAGCUUCUUCCCGAGGAAGUUGGUCGGC
This 369-nucleotide long non-coding RNA is filed under the name Hordeum vulgare. RNAcentral's name for it is "long non-coding RNA (HVUL_LNC009180)". Lineage: Eukaryota; Viridiplantae; Streptophyta; Magnoliopsida; Poales; Poaceae. The record is from RNAcentral.